AGUGAACGCUGGCGGUAGGCCUAACACAUGCAAGUCGAACGGCAGCACAGUAAGAGCUUGCUCUUACGGGUGGCGAGUGGCGGACGGGUGAGGAAUACAUCGGAAUCUACUUUUUCGUGGGGGAUAACGUAGGGAAACUUACGCUAAUACCGCAUACGACCUACGGGUGAAAGCAGGGGAUCUUCGGACCUUGCGCGACUGAAUGAGCCGAUGUCGGAUUAGCUAGUUGGCGGGGUAAAGGCCCACCAAGGCGACGAUCCGUAGCUGGUCUGAGAGGAAGAUCAGCCACACUGGAACUGAGACACGGUCCAGACUCCUACGGGAGGCAGCAGUGGGGAAUAUUGGACAAUGGGCGCAAGCCUGAUCCAGCCAUACCGCGUGGGUGAAGAAGGCCUUCGGGUUGUAAAGCCCUUUUGUUGGGAAAGAAAAGCAGCAGGUUAAUACCCCGCUGUUCUGACGGUACCCAAAGAAUAAGCACCGGCUAACUUCGUG
Molecule: ribosomal RNA, 492 nt
Filed under: uncultured bacterium
Lineage: Bacteria
Description: partial 16S ribosomal RNA
Rfam family: Bacterial small subunit ribosomal RNA
Source: RNAcentral